CAGCCGCCGCGGGAAUACGUAGGGUGCGAGCGUUAAUCGGAAUUACUGGGCGUAAAGGGCGCGUAGGCGGGUUUUUAAGUCAGAGGUGAAAUCCCAAGGCUCAACCUUGGAACUGCCUUUGAUACUGGAAGUCUUGAGUCCGGGAGAGGUGAGUGGAACUGCGAGUGUAGAGGUGAAAUUCGUAGAUAUUCGCAAGAACACCAGUGGCGAAGGCGGCUCACUGGCCCGGUACUGACGCUGAGGCGCGAAAGCGUGGGGAGCAAACAGGAUUAGAUACCCCGGUAGUCCCUGUCUCUUAUAC
This 301-nucleotide ribosomal RNA is filed under the name uncultured bacterium. RNAcentral's name for it is "partial 16S ribosomal RNA". It matches the Rfam family "Bacterial small subunit ribosomal RNA", at positions 509 to 807 of the family's 1533-position model. The record is from RNAcentral.